Long non-coding RNA from Cygnus olor (mute swan), 1762 nucleotides. RefSeq lists it as uncharacterized. The record is from RefSeq and is a predicted model, not a curated record. Lineage: Eukaryota; Metazoa; Chordata; Aves; Anseriformes; Anatidae. The transcript has 6 exons.
UGACAAAGGCAGCAAUGAUAAGGGAAAAGAGAAACUUCCUGAAGGCAAAAUGCAGGUCACCUGGAAAUUCUGACUUCAGCCUUCUCACAUCUCCAUUUGACCUCCUGUCACAAACUAGCCAAAGCUCUAAAAGGACCCACUUUAUCUCCCUACAGAGGGGAAACCUGCCUCCCUGCAACAUUUAUCUAAAGUGGUUAUGCUGUAAAAAUGUGAUGACUGCCUCUGCAGCACUCACCUGCUUCUAUAAUGGGAUAAAUACAGAUAAAGCUUGCAGAGUGAUCAAGCAGCCCUACAGAUUGCUGGGGGUAGUUGUUCACCUUGUUCCUUGUCCUCUCAGAAAGUGACGCUUCACUAGGCAAAACAGCUGUUUCCAAGGAAAUGAAGAUAGCUGAGAAGCUGGGAAGAGCAAUUCAAUUUAGAAAGGCCUUCACGCCAUUAUCAUUGAGGUGACUUUGUUUUUAUUUCUCUUUCCAUGCCAAGGGAAAGAGGUGAUGCAUCCUCUGUGGGUUGAUGCACAUUGCUGGAUGUUGUAGCUUACAGAGAAACUGGUCCAUUGUGAUCCCCAGGGGUUGCAGUCCCACCUCAGUCCCCACAGCUCCUGAGGAGCCACAGGGCUCCCAUGCCCAUGCUCUCCUCCGAGAUGUUUAAUAAGGCGAAACCUUCAUGGGCUCAUGAGCACAAACCCAAUCCUGUUCUGAUGAUGGGGCUGGGACCUCAAAUGAUGGGGCAGGGCAGGAUCCUUUUCAAGGACUGAUGACUAAUGUGCAUUUCUUCACCAGAAGCCCAGCGUGGAAACUACCAGUGCCAAAAGUUUGAGCAUUGCACUAGCAAGGGCCCUCUGGGGUCAGUAAAUCCUGUCCCCUGAUGCCAGAUGCAAGCACGUCAUAAAGUGUCUUUAUGAAUGAAUCAGUCUUUGUAUUAAAACUAUGUAUUUGCAAUGCUCAGUCAGAAGUGGGUCCAGCCCAGGACAGUUACAAACACGUUUCUCAUUUCCUGACUAAAUUAAUUCUGGCCAAUUAUAAUAAUUUUUGCUCUUUCUUCUGGCUUCUCAGUGUUUUCUAGCAGUCCCCCCAUUGGCUGAGAUCUAGUGUACACUUGCAAAAAAUAUAAGCACUUGGUGUAGACAACUGAGCAGAAGUUAGAUUUCCAGUGGACUUUUUUACUUUUUUUACUUCAUUGAGGUUAAAAAAAAAACAACAAAAAAAAACCACUACCAUACUUAAUAAGUUGGUAUCCUCACUGUCUUCCAUUUCUAGAUUGCCUUAAGGUGUAGCCCCAGGAAAAAUACAUUACCAGCUCAAGACCUGAGCUGAUGAAUGCUACUCUUAUGGCAGUAAGUUCAGGAUCUGAAGCACACACUUAGAGUUAUCGCUAGCUGGAGACAACAGGAGUUAAGUGGAAAUGUUCCAGGACAUUGCUGCUGAAAAACCCUUUCUAGCAGCUGAGGAUCCACAAACCCCCACAGCAGGCAUUGUGACAUCGAGACACCCUCAACUGGAAAAGAAAAUACGAUAUUAGUCAGGGCUUCAACAGCCCUCCAGAAUGUCAUCACUUUUAUUGGGACUAAAUCUUAGCCAGCCUUCUUCAAAGGACUCAGGGAUAAAGGAUUGUAUGAAAGAAAACAUUUGCACAGGUCCACAUAGGCAGCCUUGCUCAGCACGGCAGUUUCCCCACCCUGAGUGGAUGGGUAUCUGGACCACGCAGACCACUCAUGCAUUGAGAAUGACAAGAAACAGAAACUGUUUGAUGUCUUGGGAUAAAA